Long non-coding RNA from Aquila chrysaetos chrysaetos, 2933 nucleotides. RefSeq lists it as uncharacterized. The transcript has 2 exons. Lineage: Eukaryota; Metazoa; Chordata; Aves; Accipitriformes; Accipitridae. The record is from RefSeq and is a predicted model, not a curated record.
UUUUUUUAACACUGUUAGUGAGCAGAGCUUGGAGAGUUCUGGGAAUUUUCCCCCUCAUCUGACCACAGAUUUUCAAAAAAGAAAAUUUAUUCUAUUGAAAACAUAUCAUGUUAAAGCUAAGAGGAAUCAUAGCUGUCAAUCAGAGAAGGGGAAGAAUAUUCUUCCCAUUUAUUUCUGUAAAGCUCGUAGAAAUCAUGUUCCUUUAUAGACAGUAGGAAGAAAACAACCUUGCCCUGAGAACAUAAAUUCAGUGUAUAAAAUCACGUAAAAUGAUAGUCUAGAGGGAAUGGCAAUCAGAGAAAUGAAGUGAGUGGGAACAGUGCUCAAUGGAUUGUUUUGUAUGAGGAAUUCAGGUCAUUUAUUUCAUUGGUGUUUCAUGUUGUCUCCUGUGGAAGAGAUAAGAGAGGAGGGUUAAUUUGCUCCCCAUUAUGAUCAGACAAGAGAGGGGAGAACAGAGAAGGCUGGUUCAGAGUCCAGGUUCAGAACAGCAAGGGGAAAGGUGUUUGUCUAAGGAGGCAUUUAAGGGAAGGAAGGGAGAGCUUUGGUACACAAGAACAGGGAGAUGGUUCUAAGCAAAUGGGCUAGGCACAGCCAUCUCUGUGGGAGCAGAUAAAGGGAACCUUAAUCAAAGUGGAUCAGAAGGGUGAGUGAAACAAGCUAAAAUGGGAAAUGAGCACCACUACAUCCGCUUUGAAGACCAAGUCUUGUAGUGUGAAUUUGAAAAGGGUCAGUGUAGCAGGAGAGAGAGACAUUGCUGUAGCUGCAGUAGUUUAAGAAGAACGUCCACCAUAAAAGCUCCCUUUAAGUUUACAAAAACUGCCACACCUACAGUACAGCCUCCUCCAAACCCAGAUAAGUGAUGUUCAUUACCGUUAAUGAAAAGUCGUGGUCAAAGCACACAGCGUAUUUUCAAGCAUUGGCAGGAGCACUUUUUACAGUAUUGCCAUGUUAACUUCCUAAGAGACUUCACAGUAAAAUACUAAGACAGUUAGUAGUUAUUGCCGAUUUUAACAAGAAAUGUUUAUCACUGGCAAAUAAUAGAUACAGCACUCCUGCAAAUUAACUCCUUUGCUAUUCCCAACUCCUUGCAGAGGUUAGCAGCAGGCUAUUUCAGCUAGCCUCGGUCAUAAGCAUGCUCAGCUGCGUCUCAGCACCAGGAUAGCCCAGGUUCAGCACAGCUCCUCUGAGCUGGCUGCCCUUUUCAGCUUGUAGUAGGAGAACAGCAAAGGUAGCGCUGCCUCAUGGUCCAAUUUAAUAGCAGUCAUUAUGGGUGUCACCUACCUGUCAUGUCUGACUCACCCCACCAUCUUUUUGUUGUUUUCAUUUAAAUAUUUAAACACUCAAAUAUUCCAGCCACUUUACAUUUCACCUCCUCAGAAAGAAGCAAUGUUUCAGAGGUGUUACCAUGGAAACAGUGGAGUGAGGAGGCAGCUAAACAUGAAAGAAAGUCGUCCAACAGUAAAUCCAGAGACAUGCUUUGGGAUAACUUGAAAUUAAAAAAUGUAUAAUUAAUUGGGCUGCUGCUGAGCAUCUGUUUGUACUUACUGCUUUCUUGUAGGUGACAAGAGGCCACCUUUUUGCCUGUGACAAGAAAAUAAAAUUUCCCUGUGCAGAAUUUCCAGUACCUAAAGUCCUUUUUGACACAAGACAUAAUACCACUCUUUGGAGAUGACCACCGGAGUUUGUUAUCAGCAAGGCAGAUGAACCCAUUAAUGUGAGUAGAGUUACAUGAAACCCAGACUGGGCUUUGCUGUCACUGACACGGUGCCCCUGGCUCAGAGCUUUGUGGAGGGGAUUACACUGAGUUACUUGUGACCAACAGACACUGAGCAUUGGCAUGCUCACCGGUGAUUUUCAAAUGCUAGCUUACAACAGGUAAGUAUCCUAGCUUCUGUUUUUCUUACUUAUAGGCUGUUAAAAAAGCCAUAACAAGAAAAUCAUUACCACAGAAUCCAAAACACUGAAAAUCUUUUCUUUGCCUUGAUAAAAUACCUGGCUAGUAUGAAUGCUCAUGAUUUCUCUGGUGAACUCAAAGGUACUAAGGCAUCAUCACACUUUCAAAAAUCUAGUGCUAUUUAGCAAGUAAAACAUUUUACAGUCUCAGACUUUACUGAGAAGUGGGCUUAGAGGGGAAGGAGAUGAAACGUUUUAGCUCUAGCUCAACUGUACUUUUAAACUUCUCAGUCAUAUCUGUUUUGCUACCUGAAAAAUUUUAAGGAAGUGAAAUCAAAUGUCUAUCUGAUUUUAGGUGAUGUGCAAUAUUUAUUCUGAAGGCUCACGCACCUUCUUUCACUGUUGAAUUAUUUACAACAUGCACACACUGUCAUGCCUCAAUAGAUCACUCUAUAACUCCACCAAGUAAAAUGAAAGUAAUUUGCACAUUGUAAAUAUAUAUGUGUGUGUGUGUAAAGGCUUCGUAAGAAUCAGUAUUAAUGAUCAGCCAUCCAUGCAAAGGACAGAAGAAUGUAAUUUAUUAAAGAUAGGGAGAGGCUUUGCAGGUGGAAACAAAUACAAAAUCCAGCUAGUCCAGCAUGUAUCUUGAGCACCAAUUAGUAAUGGAGGUUGCAAAAGAACGUUGAAGAAAUUGAGUCUUAACAAGAAGUCUUGUUUUUAAUGCCAGGUAGCUGGAGAUUAGUUUAAAUUGUGAAACUUGGAGGAGUUUGAUCCUUCAGUAUUAUUUUUGGUUUUGUGGGUUGUUUUUUUCAGUUUCACUAGCUAAUGACUCAGGGCACCUGUUACACUCAUAAACACCCAGCCUCUCCAUGAAUCUUGCUAAUUUCUUAGUCUAUACAAACAGUUAACAGGGUGCUUCUCCUAACCUGGCUUCAUACAUUUUUUUCCUUUGUGCUGAGGACUUUUAAAGGGCUGUGUGUAUUUGCUUAUGAAAUGGUAAUUGAUGUGAUUUACAUUAAAAAUCCAUGUGGGCAAAAGUA